Long non-coding RNA from Pseudopipra pipra, 3821 nucleotides. RefSeq lists it as uncharacterized. Lineage: Eukaryota; Metazoa; Chordata; Aves; Passeriformes; Pipridae. The record is from RefSeq and is a predicted model, not a curated record. The transcript has 4 exons.
UUGAACCCCUUUCUUUAUUUCAAGGGUGCAGGCUUUUUUUGUAUAUACCAACGGGACUUUUGUCUUUGAAAAUGAAGGAAGUUUGGACAUUUCAAAGGAGAAAUCCCUUAAACCAGCUGCCACUUUGCUCAUUUCAACCUUUGACACUAUGAAGAGUUUCAAGGACUUGUCUUCUGAAAGUGUUUACCUUGUGAGGUGGCUUCCUGGGUACGUUCUUUGGAUUUAUGCAGUAGCCAUGUUUGUCAAAGUAUUUGGCACCAGUGACAUCAUUUCUGUUGAAAUACCGGACAGUGUGAUGAGUCUCAGAUGUUAACGCACACCAAAAGUCGAGAACGAAUAAAAUAUAAAGAUCAACUGUAACAGCUAUGGAGGACUGUACUCAAUUUACAUUCUGAUGUUGAUACACAAAGGCUAUAGGAUUUUGUCAAGGGCUUCUAAAGCUGUUAAGACUUCCAGGCAUGAAAAUCCACUGAAGCUGACUUGAGAAGUCGACAAGUUGCUGCCUUCAUAGACUUCUGUGUUCUGGAAGCAUGGAAAACUCCCUGAUGCCUGAAACGUGCAUGCACUCUUAUGGAACAUGAUAUGUGAGUAUAAUCUAAUAUGUGUAUGAAGGAGCUGAAGAGUACAUUGUCUUUUCAUGUAAAUGUAUCAGGAAAGUCCCCAGAACUAAUUUCUGGAAGCAGUUAGGAAAGCUGACAGAGCAUAGCAGGACUGGAGACUCUUUCUUGUUGCUCAGCAGACUGUGUUGAAUGGUUGGGCUGAGCAGAGCACCACACACAUUCAGUCAGUAAAAAUUGUUGGCAUCACCUGAAGAUGAUUGUUAUCUCUGGAAGACUCCUUGUCACGUGGAUAGCUUUCAUGCACAGUAUGAUGUGUGGUAUGAAGCGAGUUUUGCAUGUUUUCAGCCAGAAUGCAAACCCAAGAGCUGCAGAGCAUAUCUGUGCAGAAAUAGCUAAGGGCACCUGGCAAGAAAACAAUGGUUCCUGGUGGCCCAAAACCUAGUUCUGCUGGAGCUUCUGGAAGUGCCUCAUCUCCUCAGCUCACUGCUGGCUCCACACUUGGAGUUCAAGAUUGAACUUCUAAAUUAAAUCUUGUGACCAUCUCCAUUGUUUAUGCUUUUAUUCAUGUUGAGGAACUGUCUCAAGUGCAUGAACUGGAAUUAAUUUCGGAUAAAAGUAAACCAACCACAUCUGACACACUGCAGAUAGAAAUAGGUGCUUGAUCUGUGGGAUUAAACAAGAGACAGUCCGAAGUAAAAAUAAAUAAAUUAAUUAAAAUUGCCAGUAAUGUAGAUUUCUGGUCCUUACUGUCAAAUGUUUUGCUCUGCAGAUCCACUUCUUCUGGUCUGCACUAUUUGCCAAUGUGGAUGUAAGCCUAAAAGUUCAACUGAGCUUUUUUUCUCAGUGUAAAAAGAAGUUUCUGAUGGCUUCAGAAAAUGUUCAGUCUAUCAUGAUUCAGUCUUAAAGAGUGAAAUGGGAAAGAUAAAACUUUAACAUCUUUAUCAAACAGUACACAUCCGAGAUAAAAGCCCGAGCAAGUCCAGAGUGUAGUAAUAUUUUAGGUGUUACUACAUUCCAGGAUUCUUUAAUUGUCUUUAAUAUAUACAUGUAUUUUAAACUUGCAUAUCAGAACUGUAAAAAUACACCAAAGCUGAUGGCAGUGCACAUGAUCAAAUCCUCUUAAAUAUAAGCUCUGCUUGGUUUCCCAUAUGAUUUUUAGUGCCUGUUAAUUGUUUAGGGAUCAGUUUCUGCUGUGAUGCUGCUUAUAAGUGUAUAUAUAAAGGUAAGGGAGAACAUCACCUCUCUUGAUGUGGCAGACAGUUGCUAAAUAAAUCUCUACUAGGUGGGUGCACUGUCACCCUAAAUAAGGCAUAAAUCAUAAAUUAAAUUUUAGAAAUAACUAUUUUAACUAGGGCAGUGUGGUGCUGUGAAUCUUUUAUGAGAAAGGAAAAGUACAUUUUGUAGUGUUUUGUUUCAGCAGUUUUAAUAAUGCUUUUUAUUUUCAGUGAGGACUUCAGGUCAUUUGGAUUGUUUUCAUUGAAAUUAGAAAGCAAAGUACUCCUGCCCAAAUGAAAAUAGAUUUAGGGUUUUUCUCCCUUUCUUCAAAAACAAAUGUACUUAGUAAACAACAUAGGAAUUGCUUAAUACACUGAGAUAUCAAGCUAUUUUUGCAGAAUUGCAGGAAAGCAUGAUAAAACACAAUUUGCUAUUACUGCUGUUGGCAGUACUUUGAACUGGUGAAAGAGAUGCAUUCCUUAUUUUUCAGAUGUAUUUUGCUUUGUGUCUUAGUAGGUGACAAAUAUACAACCAGUUCUAUAAGUCCUUGAAAGAUUUUAUAUUCUCUUCAGUAUUUUAAAAUUAAGUUUGAUCCAUCCUAAGUUUCAGCAUGAGUCCUCAUUGGCAGCAUGGCGUUAAUAAAUCAUCAGAGCACCAUUGAUCAACUGGCUUAUUUAACACUGCACAAACAGCAAGAACUUAUACUGGGCCACAAACCCCACUCCAUGCCUUUGCCAUUAGGAGAGUUAAUUAUUUCACACUGACAGGUUAUUAAGUUCUCUCUAGCUCCAGAAUUAAUAUGAAAAAUACUUAGAAGAGACUUUUGGGCAAAGAGCAAGUUGGGUCAGGUCUGAUCCCAGAUCAGGUUGGUCUGUUCUGGGUGAGACAGUCACUACUAGAAUAGUAGCUCUAUUCAGAGACUCAGCUUCUACACCUGAAAAAGGGGGGAAAUUAUCCUGGUCCUUACCAUGUGGUUACCGAUUGACUGGGCCCCAUUCAUUUUCAACCAUUUUCUAUUCCUGCUGUAGGAUAGCUUUUCCCAAGUAAUCCUUAGGCAAUUAUCUUAGACUUCAGCCUGACUUGGCUCAUUACAUUUCUCUGCUCUCCAUUCCCUGCUCAUCUUUCUUUGAUGUUGCAUUUUUAUACAUUACUUUCCCCACAUGCACUUGUAGGAUUCAGCCUGUAUUGGCCUUAUUAUAACUUUCACUAUCUUCAUAAUGAACUGGCUCUGUUUUCUCAUUUCAUGUAAUGAAAAGAAACCACUGUCAAAUAGCAACCAUUAAUGGCACAAAUUUCUAUAUCUCACUAAACAGAAACACUCAGAUCUUCACCUGAUAAAUUUAGUGCAAUUCGAUCUAACUUUGUCUCCUUCAAAACAGCAGCCUGGUAUCCAAAUUAGGUCUUAGAUUAGAAUUGUCAUCAAGACUGUCUACUCUAGGGAAAACCAGAAAUAUUUGGAGAAUAAUUUAGCCCAUACAAAGUGAAUCCUUAAGUACCAGGUGAAGGUGUGUGAACACCCUCCAUGGAGCCAGAGAGCAGCCUUGGACCCCUGGAGUCCUGACUUCACGUCCUUUACAGAGGAACAUCCACAUAGGCCAUAUUCUUCAGUCUGCCAAAAAGGUAAUUCAGAGAAGAUAAGAAAAAGGAUCAGAAGAUCAUGAUUGCCAUGGAGAGGAAGAAAUACCCACUAUUUUUUCUGAUACCAGAAGUGAGGGGAUUAAAUGAAGGCAACAUGCACAGCCUCAGAGGGGAUCACGAUGGUUCUGCACAGCGGGGGCCCUCAUGCUGUGGGUAUUGAUCCUUUAUGGGGGCGUUCAGUAGGCAACUAGAGAAGUUCAUGGAAGAGAAAUCCAGCAAGGUCUGCCAAUGAGAAUCCUCUAAGAUGCAAAUUUUUGGCGACUGGCAAAGUUUUCUGGGUAAAUAUCACUAAAUGUUUGUUCCUUGCUUGCACUAAUUCCCAGGCAUCCACUUGGUCACUGUUAAGGCCAACUGGGCUGAAUGCAUGUCUUGCACAAGCUGGUGAGACAUGUUUAAUACUAUUCAGUA